Molecule: ribosomal RNA, 251 nt
Filed under: uncultured bacterium
Lineage: Bacteria
Description: partial 16S ribosomal RNA
Rfam family: Bacterial small subunit ribosomal RNA
Source: RNAcentral
UACGGAGGGUGCAAGCGUUAUCCGGAUUCACUGGGUUUAAAGGGUGCGUAGGCGGGUAUAUAAGUCAGUGGUGAAAGCUCCGAGCUUAACUUGGAACUGCCAUUGAUACUGUAUAUCUUGAAUGUCGUUGAGGUAGCGGAAUGUUGCAUGUAGCGGUGAAAUGCUUAGAUAUGUUACAGAACACCAAUUGUGAAGACAGCUUACUAAGCGAUAAUUGACGCUGAGGCACGAAAGCGUGGGGAGCAAACAGG